Molecule: long non-coding RNA, 1252 nt
Filed under: Homo sapiens (human)
Lineage: Eukaryota; Metazoa; Chordata; Mammalia; Primates; Hominidae
Description: MIR663A host gene
Source: RNAcentral
AUUCUCCCGUGACGGUGACUCCAACGGUUGGCUGAGGACGAUUCCCUGAGCCUUGACAAAGCAGGAGCCCUCCGUGGCGGUGCGUCGGUGUCGAGGCUCCAGUCUGACUAAUCCAGGGGGUCGACAAAACAGAUUCGGGACACUAUGCUACACGGAGGGCCUACCAGGAUGCAGAAACAGCAGACGGAGUCCAGGGAAAGCAGUGCGGCAUCCCAGCCUCAGGCCUGCCCGUACGGUGUUCGGACGGAAUGAAGUUGAUAAUAGUGAGACCUUGUUGGUACAAGACUAUGUAACAUAACCUGCGCUUCUCAACAAAGAAUUGCUUUUCUGACUUCUGCACUCAGUUCUUUCCUCCAGCUCACUUUAUUGUAAGAACCUUGGUGUCUGUAAUCGGCUCGGAACCCUUGCUGCUCUUUCACUGAAUAUCGCUGUCUGGAGGUUACUUGGUACACUGGUCGACAAAACCUUGAAAUGUUGAUGUUUAAGGGCUGUUGAUUGCUGGCAGCAAAGAAGUCCAACUGUGCUGGUACCCGAGAUAGCGUCUCCACAUUUUCUUCCAGGAUCAUCACCUUUGUUCUAAAUAGCUCCCACAUAGUGUGAACAGAAGUCAUAUGUUUUAGAUUUUCUGCCUUGGCACCCAGGAAACCAGUAUGAUUGAGUAAACAUAUUAAACUUCCUCUGCAUUUCCAGCCUGAACAGAUGUUGAGUACAAGCUGAUCCACCUACGUUCAACCUGAGAGAGUCCACAUCCACAGACUGUUUCAUUUCCCUUUUUCAAUUUACAUAGAAGCAUAGAUUCUUGCUGGCAUAUACAAAUGCGCCAUUUAAGGCAAUCAAAAAUGGUUCCACAUCUCAUCUGAUUUCCACAAUUGUUGCUGUAACGAUGGACUACUGAGGAGAGAGACAAUUUCUCUGGCACAUCUUCCCACAUUUUAGCAACAUGUUCAUGGAGAGCCAAUAUUCAGUAAUUACAGCCCAAUUCCUCACAAUUUCACAAUUCGCUAACAAUAUGCAUUUUCACAAUGUAAAGCUGAUUUUCCUUUAACCAAAUCAAACAUGAAAAGAUAGCUGCAUGCAAUGGGCAAUCUAGAUCAUUAGAAGAUUGAUGUAAAAUUAGAGGACACUGAGACUGGAAUAGAUUGCAAACUUCAGGGAGCUCAGAAAACUUGUAAACUCUACAUUUUGAGGAAAUAUGUUGUCGAUGCUUUUGCAACUCUAUGCAGUAACUUAACAAAUAAAGCCUUAAAGUAAC